Molecule: non-coding RNA, 119 nt
Organism: Drosophila melanogaster (fruit fly)
Lineage: Eukaryota; Metazoa; Arthropoda; Insecta; Diptera; Drosophilidae
Gene: mir-993
Product: mir-993 precursor RNA
Exons: 1
Source: RefSeq
AACGCUCCCGUGACCUACCCUGUAGUUCCGGGCUUUUGUUUAAAUGGCGUUCGGCACAUUGUCGGACUGCUGGCUCGAUUAUCAGAAGCUCGUCUCUACAGGUAUCUCACAGGGUAGAA